This 352-nucleotide unclassified non-coding RNA is filed under the name soil metagenome. RNAcentral describes it as "partial contains 5.8S ribosomal RNA, internal transcribed spacer 2, and large subunit ribosomal RNA". The stretch from base 1 to 120 matches the Rfam family "5.8S ribosomal RNA", at positions 35 to 154 of the family's 154-position model. The record is from RNAcentral.
GAUGAAGAACGCAGCGAAAUGCGAUAAGUAAUGUGAAUUGCAGAAUUCAGUGAAUCAUCGAAUCUUUGAACGCACAUUGCGCCCGCCAGUAUUCUGGCGGGCAUGCCUGUUCGAGCGUCAUUUCAACCCUCAGGCCCCCAGUGCCUGGUGUUGGGGAUCUGCCCAGCCUUCCUGUAAGGCCGCCGGCCCCGAAAUCUAGUGGCGGUCUCGCUGUAGUCCUCCUCUGCGUAGUAGCACAACCUCGCAGUUGGAACGCGGCGGUGGCCAUGCCGUUAAACACCCCACUUCUGAAAGUUGACCUCGGAUCAGGUAGGAAUACCCGCUGAACUUAAGCAUAUCAAUAAGCGGAGGA